UCCUACGGGAGGCAGCAGUGGGGAAUUUUGGACAAUGGGGGCAACCCUGAUCCAGCAAUGCCGCGUGUGUGAAGAAGGCCUUCGGGUUGUAAAGCACUUUUGUCCGGAAAGAAAACCGCUUCUCUAAUACAGGGGCGGGAUGACGGUACCGGAAGAAUAAGCACCGGCUAACUACGUGCCAGCAGCCGCGGUAAUACGUAGGGUGCAAGCGUUAAUCGGAAUUACUGGGCGUAAAGCGUGCGCAGGCGGUUCGCUAAGACCGAUGUGAAAUCCCCGGGCUUAACCUGGGAACUGCAUUGGUGACUGGCGGGCUAGAGUAUGGCAGAKGGGGGUAGAAUUCCACGUGUAGCAGUGAAAUGYGUAGAGAUGUGGAGGAAUACCGAUGGCGAAGGCAGCCCCCUGGGCCAAUACUGACGCUCAUGCACGAAAGCGUGGGGAGCAAACAGGAUUAGAUACCCUGGUAGU
RNAcentral lists this ribosomal RNA (465 nucleotides) under uncultured bacterium. RNAcentral describes it as "bacterial SSU rRNA". It matches the Rfam family "Bacterial small subunit ribosomal RNA", at positions 337 to 794 of the family's 1533-position model. The record is from RNAcentral.